RNAcentral lists this ribosomal RNA (195 nucleotides) under uncultured bacterium. RNAcentral's name for it is "partial 16S ribosomal RNA". It matches the Rfam family "Bacterial small subunit ribosomal RNA", at positions 338 to 524 of the family's 1533-position model. The record is from RNAcentral.
CCUACGGGAGGCAGCAGUAGGGAAUCUUCCGCAAUGGACGAAAGUCUGACGGAGCAACGCCGCGUGAGUGAUGAAGGUAAUCGGAUCGUAAAGCUCUGUUGUUAGGGAAGAACAAGUGCCGUUCAAAUAGGGCGGCACCUUGACGGUACCUAACCAGAUUGCCACGGCUAACUACGUGCCAGCAGCCGCGGUAAU